UAAGGGCCUGUUGCACUUCCUACUG
RNAcentral lists this non-coding RNA (25 nucleotides) under Mus musculus (house mouse). Lineage: Eukaryota; Metazoa; Chordata; Mammalia; Rodentia; Muridae. The record is from RNAcentral.